This 262-nucleotide ribosomal RNA is filed under the name uncultured archaeon. Its description in RNAcentral is "partial 16S ribosomal RNA". It matches the Rfam family "Archaeal small subunit ribosomal RNA", at positions 716 to 982 of the family's 1478-position model. The record is from RNAcentral.
ACGUCUACAUUAGAUACCCCUGUAGUCCCAGCCGUAAACUAUGCGCGUUAGGUGUAUCGGUGACCACGAGUUACCGAGGUGCCGAAGGGAAACCGUGAAACGUGCCGCCUGGGAAGUACGGUCGCAAGGCUGAAACUUAAAGGAAUUGGCGGGGAGCACCACAACAGGUGGAGCCUGCGGUUUAAUUGGACUCAACGCCGGGAAGCCCACCGGAUAGGACAGCAGAAUGAUUGCCGGGCUGAAGACCCUGCAUGACUAGCUG